CCGUAGCUGAUGCUGCCGCGCGGUAUUCGUCAUGGAGCUGGCGCCGCGGAGUUGUCGUAUGCCGCUGCUGCUGCUGCUCCUGGGCCUGAGCACGGGAGCUGUCAUCAGCUGGCCCACAGAAGAGGGCAAGGAAGUAUGGGAUUAUGUGACUGUCCGGAAGGACGCCCACAUGUUCUGGUGGCUCUAUUAUGCCACCAGCCCCAGCAAGAACUUCUCAGAACUGCCCCUGGUCAUGUGGCUUCAGGGUGGUCCAGGUGGUUCCAGCACUGGAUUUGGGAACUUUGAGGAAAUCGGGCCCCUUGACAGAGAUCUCAAACCACGAAGAACUACUUGGCUCCAGUCGGCCAGUCUCCUGUUUGUGGAUAACCCAGUGGGCACUGGGUUCAGUUAUGUGAACAAGAGUGACGCGUACACCAAAGACCUGGCCAUGGUGGCAUCAGACAUGAUGGUUCUCCUGAAGACUUUCUUUGAAUGUCACAAAGAAUUCCAGACGAUUCCAUUCUACAUUUUCUCAGAGUCCUAUGGAGGAAAAAUGGCUGCUGGCAUUGCUCUAGAACUUUAUAAGGCCAUUCAGCAAGGGACCAUCCAGUGCAACUUUGCCGGGGUUGCUUUGGGUGAUUCCUGGAUCUCUCCCAUCGAUUCAGUGCUCUCCUGGGGACCUUACUUGUACAGCAUGUCUCUUCUCGACGACCAAGGUCUGGCAGAGGUGUCUCGGGUUGCAGAACAAGUCCUGGAUGCCAUAAAUAAGAGACUCUACAAAGAGGCCACCGAGCUGUGGGGGAAAGCAGAAAUGGUCAUUGAACAGAACACAGACGGGGUGAACUUCUAUAACAUCUUAACUAAGACGUCUCCCACGUCUACCAUGAAAUCGAGUCUAGAAUUCACCCAGAGCCACAUAGUUUACCUUUUCCAGCGCCACGUGAGACACUUACAGCAGGAUGCCUUAAGUCAGCUCAUGAAUGGUCCCAUCAGAAAGAAACUCAAAAUUAUUCCUGAAGAUUGCUCCUGGGGAGGCCAGGCUGCCAGCGUCUUCCUGAACAUGGAGGGGGACUUCAUGAAACCCGUCAUCAGCAUUGUGGACGAGCUGCUGGAAGCCGGGGUCAACGUGACCGUGUAUAAUGGGCAGCUUGACCUCAUCGUGGACACCAUGGGUCAGGAGGCCUGGGUGCGAAAACUGGAGUGGGCAGAACUGCCCAAAUUCAGUCAGCUGAAGUGGAAGCCCCUGCACAGUGACCCUAAGACUUCAGAAACGUCUGCCUUUGUCAAGUCCCACAAGAACCUGGCUUUCUACUGGAUUCUCAGAGCUGGACACAUGGGAGCUGUGGCUGCUGCUGCCCAGCAUGACAAGAGAGUGUUGUACCAGGUGUCGCAGCCCGGGGAAAGAUCACAAUUCAAAAUCUGAUGUAUGGUUUCUACUGAAUGCAUAUUGCUUUUGCACCAUCUAACGUCGAAAAAUUGUAAGUCAAACCAUUGUAAGUCGUGGACUGUCUGUAUUGGGAACCUUACUUGGGGCCCUUAUUCACUAAUGGCAGAGGCACCUAGAUUUUGUUGUGGUCCCCUGCUGCAGGAUGGACCAAUCACUUUGGUUUUUUUCUUUGUUUGUUUUUGUUUAUUUGUUUUUUUGGACCAACCACUGGUAAGAAGCAAAGUCCAGAGAGACCUAGGGACUCCUUAUUUGAUGGAUUAGUAUUAGUUACCUAUUGCUGCAUAAUAAAUCACCCAGAAAUGUAGUGACUUAGAACAUUAUUAUCUGAUCGUUUCUGUAGGUCAAGUUGGGGUCUCUCCUGGGGCUGCCAUCAAGCUACUAGCCAGAGCUGCAGUCAUCUCAAGGCUCAACUGGGGAAGGAUCUGCUUACAAGCUCGCUCAUGAGAUUGUUGGCAAGACUCAGCUCAUCACAGGCGGUUGGACUGAGGGCCUCUCUCAGUUGUUUGCCAUGUGAAUCUCUCCGCAGGGCAGCGCAUGACGUGGCAAAGUGAGAGAGAAGAAUCAGGGAGAGAAAGUGAGCAAGGUACAGGUCACCGUCCUUUAUAGCCGAAUCCCAGUGUGCUAUCUUAUCACCUUUGCCUAUUCUAUUCUUAAGAAGCAAGUCAGUAUGUCCUGCCCCGUUCAAGUGGAGGGAAUUACACAAGGGCAUGAAUACAGGAAGCAGACAUCGCUGAGAGCCAUUGAGAGACUGUCUACCAGAUGUAGUUCACUGUUGCAGAAGUCUUGGGAGCAACGUCUUCAAUGAUAGCAAGAACAAGAAUUGUAUUUCUCACGAGGAACUGUGCCCCUGACUUAGGGCCAUCUGUUGCAAGACUUGAACCAGAUCAGAUGCGAACCUGAGGGAAGCACCUUGUGGAGUCCAAGGAUGAAGCUAACUUGGCAGACGGCAGAGCCAAGAGACAGAGAGAUAUAGAGAGUCCCAGUGCAAUGGCAUGUUUGAACACUGGCUCGAACAACGCCUUGUGAAAACUAAUAAAGGGAAGCCCUACUAAAAUUGUCAGGAGGCCAGAAAGGGGAGAUCUCAUGCACAUACAAUUCAGAUCCCAACCAGAAGAGAUGUACCUUGCGUCUCCAGCAGGAAGUGACAAUACUUUAUCACCUCCAGAAAGAAGAAAAAAGAUUCUCUUUGCUUGGCAAGAGCUCAGCCAAUGAGAGAGUGUCACGACUCAGCCAAUGAAAAGCCACUCUACUGGGAAACUUCCAGUUUUCCUCUAGUGGACAUUUUGUUUGUAAUAGCCCCUCCCAACUUCCCCUUCUCUUCUAUAAAAGAGUCUCCUCUCCUUUGCUUUACCGGGACUUGCAUG
This is a non-coding RNA of Delphinapterus leucas (beluga whale), 2790 nucleotides long. Lineage: Eukaryota; Metazoa; Chordata; Mammalia; Artiodactyla; Monodontidae. The record is from RefSeq and is a predicted model, not a curated record.